This 435-nucleotide long non-coding RNA is filed under the name Homo sapiens (human). RNAcentral describes it as "HSALNT0114673". The record is from RNAcentral. Lineage: Eukaryota; Metazoa; Chordata; Mammalia; Primates; Hominidae.
GCUCAUCAGGCCUGAGAAGAACUUCCAGACCCAUCAACUGGAUCCUGGAUGUGCAGCUGAGCCUCUUUCAAAACUGCUGUCACCAUGGACUCCUGCGCAGACCAAACAUCCCUUUUGUGUGUGUGGGUCUUCACCUCACACAACCCCUACGGAAUCACAAGAGGAAAAUACCACUAUUUCUCAGUCAGGCGGAGGACUAAGAAUUCAAGGUGAACACCUCUUGCUAAUGGCUCUUUUUAGUGAAACCACUACUGAGAGCUGACGGAACACACACAUUUGGCAAACAGAUGGAGGGAGGGAACGGGCAUCUCCCUUUGUGAAUUCAAUACCAGUUGAUUCAUUAGGCAGAACUGCCAACACAGAAAAUAAAUACAGCCUCUGGUUACAAAAGUAUAACUGCUGCUUACCAAACAACAGAAAUAAAAAAAACAGGCA